This 300-nucleotide ribosomal RNA is filed under the name uncultured Bacillus sp. RNAcentral's name for it is "bacterial SSU rRNA". It matches the Rfam family "Bacterial small subunit ribosomal RNA", at positions 496 to 795 of the family's 1533-position model. The record is from RNAcentral. Lineage: Bacteria; Bacillati; Bacillota; Bacilli; Caryophanales; Bacillaceae.
GCUAGCGCGGGGACAGCAGGCGGGGUAAUACGGGGGGUGGAAGCGUUGUUCGGAAUUACUGGGCGUAAAGCGGUUGUAGGCGGUCGUUUAAGUCUGGUGUGAAAGCCCGGGGCUUACCCCCGGAAGUGCACUGGAAACUGGGAGACUGGAGUACCGGAGAGGAGGGUGGAAUUCCUGGUGUAGCGGUGAAAUGCGUAGAUAUCAGGAGGAACACCGGUGGCGAAGGCGGCCCUCUGGACGGAUACUGACGCUGAGACGCGAAAGCGUGGGGAGCAAACAGGAUUAGAUACCCUGGUAGUC